RNAcentral lists this ribosomal RNA (161 nucleotides) under uncultured bacterium. RNAcentral's name for it is "partial 16S ribosomal RNA". It matches the Rfam family "Bacterial small subunit ribosomal RNA", at positions 355 to 509 of the family's 1533-position model. The record is from RNAcentral.
UAGGGAAUUUUCGUCAAUGGGCGCAAGCCUGAACGAGCGAUGCCGCGUGAGUGAAGAAGGCCUUCGGUCGUAAAGCUCUGUUGCGGGGGAAAAAAGGCAACUACAGGAAAUGGUAGAUGACAGAUGGUGCCCCGCCAGAAAGUCACGGCUAACUACGUGCC